AAUGUGUAGAAAAUUUGAUCAUGAACAGUGGAGAAUUUUCACUUUAGGCAUAUGUGUAAUUUUUGGUGUUAUUUCCUUUGUAUUCGGUCCAUUAAAUACUUUAAUGAUGAAUGUAGGAUUUGAAGAACACUCCCGAAUCUUCUCAAGAAUGCUGAAAAAAGAGACCCAAUACGCCAACGUAAUAAUAGUAAUGACUUCUCUAAUGUGGAUGACGUUUAUUGUGAAUGCAGCCGUUCUUGUAAUGGUCAUAGCAGACAGGGCGUGUGGUCUAGAUUUCUACAUAGGCGUUACCAUAGCAACGAUGUUGAUAUCUCUGGUAACAUCGCUAUACUAUUUGGAGUAUUGUACCAAGUUCGAUGUGUACUGUUUCGAUCAUACCCCAGGAAGAGGGGCCAAUACGGACACGUUAGCUUCUGUAGUACUUUUUAUGUUAGGUUUUAUAUAUUUGGUAAUGCAAUUCUUGUUUUUAUAUGUUGUGUGGAAUUAUAGGAAGCAAAUUAGGGA
This is a long non-coding RNA of Helicoverpa zea (corn earworm), 504 nucleotides long. RefSeq lists it as uncharacterized. The transcript has 2 exons. The record is from RefSeq and is a predicted model, not a curated record. NCBI's taxonomy places the organism in Eukaryota, Metazoa, Arthropoda, Insecta, Lepidoptera, Noctuidae.